UCCCAGCCAUGGCUGCCUACCAGAAGGGG
RNAcentral lists this non-coding RNA (29 nucleotides) under Mus musculus (house mouse). Lineage: Eukaryota; Metazoa; Chordata; Mammalia; Rodentia; Muridae. The record is from RNAcentral.